AUCGUGCCAUUGUGCUGAUUGUGAGAUGACAGGAUGUAACUGAGCGCGUGAGCGCUAGGAUGAUGCCCGCCGAUAACUCCGCUGCUGGCAUCCACCGAACGUAGGAAUGUCGCUAUCGUCGUCGCUAUGACUCCCCUGUGAUUAGCAACAAACAAGUACUCCCAUCAGCGAGGGUAUACGAGAGAGGGUGGCAUGGUGGCAAGCAAAUAUAACGAGAAGUAAAAAUCCUUGAAAGUGCGUAGGCUACAACGACCGGGCCAAUCAACUACCUUGUCCAGCAGCCAUAGAAAACAGAUUCCCCGGAAUAUCAAAUACCGACGCCUCCACUUCUCACACACAAUUUCUUUUUUUUUUGCCGGGAUCUCGGUGUGGGUGUCGGACUCGAGACACGCGAGAAAACUGCGCCCCGUCACGUAACCAGAGCACGAAAAGGACGGGCAAAGGGGAUAAUAUAUAUAUACACGUAUAUAUUCAAUAAAAACACCUGACCACAUGACGGCAGAGUAGAAGAGAAAAAAAAGCUUAUCAUCUCUACCUUAGUUAUUGUCGUGUGACUGAAGCUCAAACGUUUGUUAACGCUGUGCGGCUCAUCCUUUUCGAAAUGGCUCUACAGCAAAUGACCAGUCAAAUGCUUGUUCGAGGUCGAUGAUAUUCGACACUGGACGUCAAGAUUUUAUUAAACACACAUUUUCGGCGAAGCUUGUAGGUCGCCGAAAAUGUGUUCUCUUGGUCUGCUGGCAGUGUGCAUGGCUUUGUAAAGGAGGGCAUCAGCCGUUUCUGACCUGAACCUGGAGCAACCAACGCCCCCAGGCUGAAGAUGUGUAGUUUCAAAAA
This is a long non-coding RNA of Daphnia magna, 834 nucleotides long. RefSeq lists it as uncharacterized. The record is from RefSeq and is a predicted model, not a curated record. Lineage: Eukaryota; Metazoa; Arthropoda; Branchiopoda; Diplostraca; Daphniidae. The transcript is spliced from 5 exons.